Molecule: ribosomal RNA, 837 nt
Filed under: uncultured archaeon
Lineage: Archaea
Description: bacterial SSU rRNA
Rfam family: Archaeal small subunit ribosomal RNA
Source: RNAcentral
GGUCACUGCUAUCGGUGUUCGUCUAAGCCAUGCGAGUCAUAUGUUCUUUGGAACAUGGCGUACUGCUCAGUAACACGUGGAUAACCUGCCCUUGGGUCCGGCAUAACCCCGGGAAACCGGGGAUAAUACCGGAUAACGCAUAUAUGCUGGAAUUCUUUAUGCGUGAAACGGAUUCGUCUGCCCAAGGAUGGGUCUGCGGCCUAUCAGGUAGUAGUGGGUGUAACGUACCUACUAGCCGACGACGGGUACGGGUUGUGAGAGCAAGAGCCCGGAGAUGGAUUCUGAGACAUGAAUCCAGGCCCUACGGGGCGCAGCAGGCGCGAAAACUUUACAAUGCGGGAAACCGUGAUAAGGGGACACCGAGUGCCAGCAUCAUAUGCUGGCUGUCCGGGUGUGUAAAAUACACCUGUUAGCAAGGGCCGGGCAAGACCGGUGCCAGCCGCCGCGGUAACACCGGCGGCCCGAGUGGUGAUCGUGAUUAUUGGGUCUAAAGGGUCCGUAGCCGGUUUGGUCAGUCCUCCGGGAAAUCUGACGGCUUAACCGUUAGGCUUUCGGGGGAUACUGCCAGACUUGGAACCGGGAGAGGUAAGAGGUACUACAGGGGUAGGAGUGAAAUCUUGUAAUCCCUGUGGGACCACCUGUGGCGAAGGCGUCUUACCAGAACGGGUUCGACGGUGAGGGACGAAAGCUGGGGGCACGAACCGGAUUAGAUACCCGGGUAGUCCCAGCCGUAAACGAUGCUCGCUAGGUGUCUGGCAUGGCGCGACCGUGUCUGGUGCCGCAGGGAAGCCGUGAAGCGAGCCACCUGGGAAGUACGGCCGCAAGGCUGAAACUUAA